UUGGAGGGCAAGUCUGGUGCCAGCAGCCGCGGUAAUUCCAGCUCCAAUAGCGUAUAUUAAAGUUGUUGCAGUUAAAAAGCUCGUGGUUGAAUUUCGGGGUCAGUAGGCUGGUCGUGCCACAGGUAUGUACUGGUCUCACUGAUUCCUCCUUCCUGAUGAACCGUAAUGCCAUUAAUUUGGUGUUGCGGGGAAUCUGGACUGUUACUUUGAAAAAAUUAGAGUGUUUAAAGCAGGCUAACGCUUGAAUACAUUAGCAUGGAAUAAUGAAAUAGGACGAUCGAUCCUAUUUUGUUGGUUUCUAGGAUUGACGUAAUGAUUAAUAGGGAUAGUUGGGGGCAUUAGUAUUCAAUUGUCAGAGGUGAAAUUCUUGGAUUUAUUGAAGACUAACUACUGCGAAAGCAUUUGCCAAGGAUGUUUUCAUUAAUCAAGAACGAAAGUUAGGGGAUCGAAGACGAUCAGAUACCGUCGUAGUCUUAACCAUAAACUAUGCCGACUAGGGAUCGGAUGAUGUUAAUUUUUUAAUGACUCAUUCGGCGCCUUACGGGAAA
Molecule: ribosomal RNA, 548 nt
Filed under: uncultured Glomeromycotina
Lineage: Eukaryota; Fungi; Glomeromycota
Description: SSU rRNA
Rfam family: Eukaryotic small subunit ribosomal RNA
Source: RNAcentral